AGCAUAUCAAUAAGCGGAGGAAAAGAAACCAACAGGGAUUGCCCUAGUAACGGCGAGUGAAGCGGCAACAGCUCAAAUUUGAAAUCUGGCUUCGGCCCGAGUUGUAAUUUGCAGAGGAUGCUUCUGGCGCGGUGCCUUCCGAGUUCCCUGGAACGGGACGCCACAGAGGGUGAGAGCCCCGUAUGGUCGGACACCAAGCCUGUGUGAAGCUCCUUCAACGAGUCGAGUAGUUUGGGAAUGCUGCUCUAAAUGGGAGGUAAAUCUCUUCUAAAGCUAAAUACCGGCCAGAGACCGAUAGCGCACAAGUAGAGUGAUCGAAAGAUGAAAAGCACCUUGAAAAGGGGGUUAAAUAGUACGUGAAAUUGUUGAAAGGGAAGCACUUAUGACCAGACUUGGGCCGGGCGGCUCAUCAGGGGUUCUCCCCUGUGCACUCCGCCCGGCACAGGCCAGCAUCGGUUCUCGUGGGGGGAUAAGACCGUCAGGAACGUAGCACCCUCCGGGGUGUGUUAUAGCCUGGCGGACGAUACCCCCGUGGGGACCGAGGUCCGCGCUCCGCAAGGAUGCUGGCGUAAUGGUCAUCAGUGACCCGUCUU
This 593-nucleotide ribosomal RNA is filed under the name Diaporthe eres. Its description in RNAcentral is "eukaryotic LSU rRNA". It matches the Rfam family "Eukaryotic large subunit ribosomal RNA", at positions 37 to 655 of the family's 3401-position model. The record is from RNAcentral. Lineage: Eukaryota; Fungi; Ascomycota; Sordariomycetes; Diaporthales; Diaporthaceae.